Molecule: ribosomal RNA, 450 nt
Filed under: uncultured bacterium
Lineage: Bacteria
Description: partial 16S ribosomal RNA
Rfam family: Bacterial small subunit ribosomal RNA
Source: RNAcentral
AACGAACGCUGCGGCAGGCCUAAUACAUGCAAGUCGAACGGAUGUAGCAAUACAUUAGUGGCGCACGGGUGCCUAACGCGUGGGAACAUACCCUUGAGUAAGGAAUAAUGUCUGGAAACGGACACUAAUACCUUAUAAUGACUUCGGUCCAAAGAUUCAUCGCUCAAGGAUUGGCCCGCGUCUGAUUAGCUAGUUGGUGAGGUAACGGCUCACCAAGGCGACGAUCAGUAGCUGGUCUGAGAGGAUGAUCAGCCACACUGGGACUGAGACACGGCCCAGACUCCUACGGGAGGCAGCAGUAAGGAAUAUUGGACAAUGGGGGCAACCCUGAUCCAGCCAUGCCGCGUGAGUGAUGAAGGCCUUAGGGUUGUAAAGCUCUUUCGUCGGGGAAGAUAAUGACGGUACCCGAAGAAGAAGCCUCGGCUAACUCCGUGCCAGCCGCCGCCGUAA